CGUAGGGUGCGAGCGUUAAUCGGAAUUACUGGGCGUAAAGCGUGCGCAGGCGGUUUUGUAAGACAGAUGUGAAAUCCCCGGGCUCAACCUGGGACCUGCAUUUGUGACUGCAAGGCUAGAGUACGGUAGAGGGGGAUGGAAUUCCGCGUGUAGCAGUGAAAUGCGUAGAUAUGCGGAGGAACACCGAUGGCGAAGGCAAUCCCCUGGACCUGUACUGACGCUCAUGCACGAAAGCGUGGGGAGCAAACAGGAUUAGAUACCCUGGUGGUCCACGCCCUAAACGACGUCAACUGGUUGUUGGGUCUUUACUGACUCAGUAACGAAGCUAACGCGUGAAGUUGACCGCCUGGGGAGUACGGCCGCAAGGUUG
This 370-nucleotide ribosomal RNA is filed under the name uncultured organism. Its description in RNAcentral is "bacterial SSU rRNA". It matches the Rfam family "Bacterial small subunit ribosomal RNA", at positions 526 to 896 of the family's 1533-position model. The record is from RNAcentral.